CCUUGCUUAUGCAAGGCUGCUUGAUCACCUCUCUCCUUCUCUGUCUCAUGCACACACAUGUAUGCACACAGGUACAUGCUUAUGUGGACUUUUAUGUGAUUUAAUCAACAUCUAAUCAUUCUUAGUGUUUUGUUUGCAAGUAAACAAAAUUCUUUAUGUACACAGACUCGUCGGAGGCCAGAAUAUUUUCUACUGGCAAGUCAUCGUCUUAUAUACAGAGAUUUCAUCAUUCCAUUUAUCAAAAAAACUCAGGCUUCUAGCAUUUUCCUUUUUGUUUAGGAACUAUGCUCUGAGCACUUGUCAGAAAUAGUGGAUCAAAGUCAGAGGUAGGUUUUCCACCCCAGGUGUGGCGCAUCCAGCACGUUCUCAGGUACGCCUCCAGUGGCCACACUGUCAUGGCGGCUCUGCCUUCCAACAUGGCUCCCUCCACUGCCCUGCCAACAAGAUCUCUCUGGGAAUGCAAAUGUUUUUUUUCUUUGUAUGUAUGAAAAUGCUGGGAGCCAUUAGCCAAGUAGGUGUGACAAUUUCCUUGCCAGCGUACCCCAUGUUGCAGUGACAUUGAAUGUAGGUGACCUUGCUCAAGGACCAGGGCGGAUUAGGGUGUUCCCGGUUUAGGAUAAUCGGGUUUAGGGCGUUCCAGGUUUAAGAUUUUUCCUGCUGGGAAUAGGGCGUAUCCUGCUGCCUGAGUUCCCCUUGAGUUCUCACGGGAUUCAGACAGUAUUUUUUGGGAGACAGAAGCCCAGUGGUGGUGGAUUUGGGCAGAGAACGUGGAUUUCCCCAGAACGUGUUUGUAGACGGCUGGUGUGAGUUCGGGAAUAAAGAGUUGCUGUUUGAAUCUACAAGCUGUGUGGUGGCUCGUGAUUGUGUGCCCAGCCAGACUGUGGCAUGAAAAGGGCAAGUGCUCCUAGCAGCAGCCACAUACAUGGAAAAUUAUACAUUUGACCUGCUGAAACAUCUCUAUCAGGUAAGAAAAUGUCAGGUAAUUAGAAAUACUGGGAGAGCUCAUGAAAUUUUAUAUGUCUACCUGAUGCAAUUUCCUUUGAAAACUAAUGCUUGAAUUUGAAAGUGUGUUAAAAAUCAAAGCCUGCCUUUCUCUUUCCGGGCAUGCCUCAUGCUGAGCACUGCCACUUAUCUUUCAAAUUUUAAACACUUUGGAGCUUUUCAAAUGAACAAACUUUUAUUUAUCAAUAACUUCAUUAUUUUUAGUCUAUACUAGUGAAAUGAUUCACUUUAAC
RNAcentral lists this long non-coding RNA (1235 nucleotides) under Marmota monax (woodchuck). Lineage: Eukaryota; Metazoa; Chordata; Mammalia; Rodentia; Sciuridae. The record is from RNAcentral.